RNAcentral lists this long non-coding RNA (7803 nucleotides) under Chlamydomonas reinhardtii. RNAcentral describes it as "long non-coding RNA (CREI_LNC000620)". The record is from RNAcentral. Lineage: Eukaryota; Viridiplantae; Chlorophyta; Chlorophyceae; Chlamydomonadales; Chlamydomonadaceae.
CCACACGAAGCAACAAGGUGUUUGGGCUACGCCUAGAACAGGCGAUGACCAGAACAUCUUAUGCACUGGGCGACCUACAGCCACAUUCAGUACUAAGCCCUUACCCUUGGCCUCAACUAGGAAACGGGGCAAACUGGACCAUACAAGACUGGUGAGGUGCACCCAUCCAACACGACAGCAACUGCGCAACAACUGCGUUCAUGAAGCCUUGAAAGGUCUGUAUCGAUCGCGUUGGGACACGCCCUCAUAAUCAAAACAAGCCGGGCGUGUAACAGUGACGCCCCAUGCUGGCCCAUGCCCACACCCAAGCCCACGGAGACAAGGCCGCAGUGUAUCGGACGUCUUGCAAUGACCACUGUCGGUACCAUAUGCGGUAUAUCCUGACGACAGUCAUACUGGCAUGCGUGCCCAACUGAGUUACUAAACGCGAUGAUGGUGCACGACUAUGAAAUGCGUUUUGUCGAAACCGGAACGCAGCUCUGCAUGAUGCGGACGGUUCGGUCACGCAUGGAUUCGGCUGGAUUAGUGGCAGUGACGUCCGGAUUAGUGAUGGCGGGUGAUUGGGAGUGUGCGCUGCAACGUGUGGGUGCUGCAGAGUCUGCUGGAGGACAGGUUGAUCCUGUCCUCCAUCCCCAGCCGUUCGGCCUAGGUCCGUGAUGUGCGGACCUAGAUUGACGUGUGUUGCGGAACUAAUGCGUACGUAGACCAGAGCGGAAGGCGGAGUGGGUUGAUUCUUUCUUCUAUGGCGGCCAGCACGUCGCCUGCCGCGCACUGACCAGAAUCUCCUGCGCCUUGCCGCGCCCUGUUCUUGCCCCGGCUUGCCACACUGUCGCCCGGCCAUUGCUUCGCUGCGCACUACUCGCAUACAUUGGUUAUCACGUCGUCGGCGCUCAUCCGUGGACGUCGGUCGCCUGAUGGCCAGGUGCACUACAACUCUGUGUCGCGCGUGGCACAAUGUCUGCGUGGUCGGGCGCCCUGAGCGUGAGGAUUGCGUGUCAGCAAUAUCUAUGAGCCAGCCACUCUUGCCCUGACUCGUCUUGUAGGAUUUGUGGGCCGGGAUUCUUGUCAUCACACUGCGGGACACCGCUUCUCACCACACUCUACUCUUGAUUUUACUAGGAAUUCAACGUCGCCUGACGCGCAUCCACAGAAGUAUGUCAUUGAAAUGCGGUAAAUCGGUGGGUCUUUUGACCCCUGUGAGGCCCGGGUUUGGACAGGUCCCUGCCCACUGGGUAUGCCCCUGGGUUUGGAUGCCCGCGUCAGGGGGUGGUAGAAUCUUCCAAAACAGACCCCAUGCUUCAAAUGGAUAGAGUUCAACUUGAAAAUCACGAAUCCGCUUUCAAAAGCGGAAAUGGGUUUCUGCGUGCAAAGUUAUGACCCCUCAAAGUUGCCGGUCGCUCGGUCGUUCGGUCUGGGUAAAAGGGUGAUCGAACAAUCACAAAGUUGGGGCGGGCUCAUCUUAGGCCCACCAGGGGAUGGGGGGGGGCGGGGGGGGGGGGUAGGAACAAACUUUUUUGACCCCAUGCCACAAAAACUCCCGGACCCCCCGACCGACCGACCGACCGACCCCCCCUGCCGUACGACCCCCCAAAAAACCCCUCAGAACCCCUUAGGUUUUUUGUCAGGUUGGUGCCAAUUGACUGCUCUCGGUGAGCUCUAUCGCUAGGUACAAUGAUCCGCCUUGGGAACACACUUUGACCGACCGACAUGUGGACGUGUCGACAUGUCCACCCGUCUGCCGACAAGUAUCCUGAUAGAGUGGCCUGCUAUACAACGGCUUACUCCAAUGUUACUUGAUAGUACGAAAUGUGCUGACACGUUCAUCCAUGCAAAACCCGGCCGGCACCGGCCAGUUCCCCAGGCGUCUCCCGAAAUGCCGACAUGCCGCUCCCCACACUGCCCCAAACUAUGCACGUGUGCUGGGUCUGGGGUAUAUCUACGCACGCAUUGUUGAGCUGCACCCUUUGCGCCGCGUGCUGCAGAACGGAAGCGCUAGGAACAAAACUUCGCACGAACCUGUGCAAAACCUCUUGGGACCCCCGACUGCUGACCGACCGACCGGCCACUUUGAGGGUCAUAACUUUGGCCCUUCUUCCCGCUGGCUGGGCUGCCGCCGCGCGUGCGGCCCAGCUGGCUCGGGGGCCUGCCGCCGCGCUGCCGCUCCCGGUGGCCGACGUCGUGAGUGCUAUGGCGGAGUCGGUGCAACAGGUGGUGCGGGGGCUUGGAUGGCUGCAGUGCGAGAGGCCGCCCAUCAUGCUCACUGCCUACACGGUGAAGGCGGGGACCGUGCUGCAAAUGGCUCCACAGUUAGCCGCCCUGAAGGCUAAGCAUUUGCAAUAUGUGUGCGAUGCGGGUGUGUCGGGGGUGGGGGCUGCCCUGGAUGGCGGCGGGGGCCUUCGUGUGCACCUUGGCCCGCUUGUGGUCGCUGAAAUGGGAGAAUCAUCAUAAGGAAGCACUGUGGCGUGUGGCCGCCAACGCUUGCUGGGCGUUUCCACGACAUGCUAGCGAGCGGGCGCGAGGCGUUGCUGUUGACCCGUGUUGGGCGUGUGGGAUUGACAUGCAGGAUAAGGACCGGCGUCACUGGUUUUGGGACUGCACUGUUGCGUUGUCGCUGCGGGAAUGUAUGGGGAUGGCUAUGGGUUUCCUGCCGGAGGAGGCUCUAAAUGCCUUCUCUCGUGAUGACGAGUUGUGGUUAGUGCGCCCGCCUGCGGGGCUUGCGCCACCUGUGUGGGAUGUGGUGUGUCUCGCUGCUAUGUCUGCCCUGGACUUUGGUCGGCAGCGUGUGGUUAUGGCCGGGUUGGCGGCGCGAGCGAAGCUGCCGUCGGCCCGGGUGCUGAGCAUUGGACUUGCCGUCGUAGCUGACUUCUGGGGUCGUCUCCAGACGUUUGUGACUUUGGGUAUCAGGCCAAAGGGUUGGGACGCUGUGCCGUUUGCGCAUCCUUUCAUAUCUCGGGCUGUUGGUGACGGCAUGGUUUUGCGCUUGCCGUAUGACGCUGAUUCCCGGCCUCCCUCGCCGUGAGAGGUUGUGCGUGGUUGGUGGCUUUGUGUGUGGGCAGGAUGCACGUGUGGGCGACCGUUCUAGUACCUGGACGCUUGCGCCCUGGUUAGUGCGUGCGCUGUGCUGCGUGUGUCCUGCGGCCUAGACGUUCCGCGGCACUCCUGUGCCUAGGCUUGUGACGUUGAGGCACAGCGGUGGGGCUCUGGCGGGUUGAGGCUUGGCUAGGACUCACUGUGCGCGGAGUCACACGGACUUUGCCCGCGGGAGGGUUUGCAGCAAAGUCGGGGUUGGUGGAGUCAAGUUGGGCCCUGAUAGCAUGUGAUGGCUCGGCGUCUUCGGGUGCUGGGACUGUCCCCUCUGCUGUAACAUCCGCAUUCAUAACUUUGCACCCAGAAACCCAUUUUCGAUUUGUGAUUUUCGUGAUUUUCUCGUUGAGCUCUAUCCAUUUGAAGCAUGGGGUCUGUUUUGGAAGAUUCUACCCCCCCUGGGCCCACAAGGUUUUGCACAGGUUCGUGCCAAGCUUUGUUCUUAGCGCUUCUGUCCUGCAGCACGCGGCGCAAUGGGUGCAGCUCAACGAUGCGUGCGUAGAUAUACCCCAGAGUCAGCACACGUGCAUACUUUGGUUUGGGGCAGUUUGGGGAGCGGCAUGUCGGCAUUUCGGGAGCUGCCUGGGGAACUGGUCAGGGACAGGCCAGUGCCGGACGGAUUUUGCGUGGAUGAACGUGUCAGCACAUUUCGUACUAUCAAAUAACAUUGGAGGAAGCCGUUGCAAAGCAGGCCAGUCUACCGGGAUGCUUGUCGGCAGACGGGUGGAGAUGCCCACAUGUCGGUCGGUGAACGUGUGUUCCCAAGGCGGACAAUUUUACAUAGCGAAAGAGCUCACCGAGGCAGGGGGGGUCGGUUGGUCGGUCGGCCGGGGGCGGGGUCCGAGAGUUGUCAUCUUUUUCAUCGUUUUCAUCUUGCAAAUUAGGAGUUUAUUGAGCCACUGCCCGGACUAUAGGGCGGUACAGACAAUGGCAAAAAGUGUAGGCUCAAAAAAGUUUGUUCCUAACCCCCCCUGCCCGCAUGCAACUUCGUGGUGUGGCAGUUGACAGGCCUCAACAGAGUUUCUCAGACCCGCCCCGUUGACUGCCUCUGCCAAUUUUUGUAUUGAAUGCAUGACCACAAGAUAAAUUGUACCAUAGACGGCCGCGGCGAGGCAAUUUAACAUGCAGACUUCCGCCCGCGUUUGCCGAUCGCGAAGAUCCCACCAAAAGGCAUUAAUACUCUUAUGCCCAGUCGCGUUGGCCCAGAAAACAACAGAGAAAGCAAGCUGUCAAAAAUGUGGCGCCCGACGCUGUUCUUCCUCGUUGCGCUACUCACGUCCGCCAGCGCAAGCGGCCCGGUCAAGUGCGUGAAGAAGGCCAUUCAGCCAGUCAUUCAGCCUGGCUUUGGAUGGCACGUCACGGUGCCGGUAAGCGCUACGUAGGGCUGGUUGGGCUGGGCGGGCCUCGCUGCAUGCUGACGGCGGGUCUCGCGGCCAGCCUGCUGUCGCUGUGGGCAGGUUUGUGCAUGCGUCCGUCACAUGAUACCAUAGGCAUGGCGACUCGUCAGCGCAAUCCUCAGUGAAGAGAGUGCGCGGUUUGGCGCGCUCCGCGCAUUUGCUCGCUGCACUGGGAAGCGAGCUACGUUGUGCGCUCCGCCGAGACCGUCACCUGAAACAAUAGGCCCCCAUCAUUUGUACCACUUGUACCAGUUGUCACAUACCUAGCGGGCUGCCGGCGCCCUGUCCGCCUGCGUUUCAGCUUUUCCCAUCCUGAUGUUUUGCGGCCACAACGCUAGCGUACCCUUGUGAUGAACGCCCUUUGCUGCAUCAGAAGACGACUUCGACGCCUGACGGUUCGGCCCCUGACCCCGCCCACAGGACAGCUUCCACGUGGAGGCUUUCUCAAUGCACCAAGCCAACGGGGACAAUGGGCCGGAGUUUGCGCACCUGACCAUCCUGCCCGGCAAAGGCUUUCCUCCGCACAAGCACCUGGACGGCUGGGAGACCAUUUACAUCCUCAAGGGUGAGCUUGGGCGCCAGGAGCAAGGGUGUUGGGCAGGGGUGUUGAUUGGGCCUGGUCAACUCUGAACGUGGCGUCAGUGGCGUGCUGUGUACCGCGCCACGUGGGGCGGUAGCGCAAGUGAGCAGGGCUUUUUAUCUUGCUGUUGCUGGGCUAGUUCCUGAUUCAGACAUGGCGGCAAGAUGGCCAUUGCAAGGGACCAUGAGAAACAAGGCACCGUGUCCGGUUCCUGGCGGGCACAGGGGCCCCGUCGCGGUCUGCAGGCUUCGGCAGUACACGGACUGGCCAGGCGGGCACGUGUCAAAUUGAACGCCGCAGCCCUGCGCACAACGGCACAAGGGCCCUGAUUGUCGCUGCCGGUCCCCUGUGCCAUGUCCUCAACAUUCUAUGCCGCAGGCGAGGUUGAUUAUGGAUACUGGGGCCCCAACGACCCCAAGCCCACCACCGUCAAGCUCGGACCGGGCGCCGUUACGCACACGCCUCAGGACCACUUCCAUAAGGUGCGUGGGUGCCAGGCAGGGGCGCCCCUGCCUGAUGGUGCUUGGUAGACGAGCACAGCUCAUGCAACCCUGGCCUGGGGUAUAGUCAGGCCAUACAGACAUGGCUUCCCGCCACCCGUCCCAUCGCCCAACCUCGCUCAACAACGUCACCUGACUGCAGGUGUGAAAAGCGAGCUUCUUCGCGCGUCGUGUGGCUGCGUGGCGUCAUGGUGUGCGUGUGGUGCUGUUGCUUGGCUGGGCGCCCGGAGCGUAAGGAUAGCGCAUCAGAAAAAUACUCAACCAGUCUGACGGCCCGUUAUGCAGCCUUUCGUCGCUGGCUACGCCACCGGUGCCAUACUGUGCAUUCACACUAGCAAGCAUUUCUCUGAGCUGUGCAUAAAUGCCUUCGCAGUCAGCGUCACUUUCACUGGGUAAUUGCUUGUCCUGCUUGUCGCACUCCUGCCCACUUCACCUCACCGCCUAAUCCAUCACGCACGCUCACCAACAGGUCUGGAACAGCAGCCCCGAGCCCAUCUCGAUGAUCGUCACAAGCAACCAGUUCACCAGGUGAUCAAGGGUAGCGCAGCUUAGCUGUCUUGUAGCCAAUGCAAUCUCUCAGUUACCGUACACAUGUUUCCUUCCCUCGUGCCGUACUCACUCCGCCGCUGCUCCUCCCAUACAUGCCGCGCUGCAGGUUCAUGUUCUUUGAGGUGGGUAAGGCGGUGCCGACUUGUAGCCAGACAUUGGGUAAAUGUGGCCUCAGUUUGGUACCGCUGGAAAUGAGCCACGACGCCAAGCACGUAGCAUAAGUGCGCAGUCGUUGCAGGUGGCAUGCCCAGUAGCACGAGGGCCCGAGAGGACCUUCGAACAUAUAGGACGCACGCGCUGACAUGGUGUUUUGCCCUGCCCGUUACCAUGUACCUGGCUACGCACAGGACUGGCCUGAGAGCUUCAACGCAACCGGUCACGUGCCCGAGGCCAUGCCAUGGUGCGUAAACUCGGCAGGCAUCGCCAGUAGGGAGGUUAUUGGAGCGUUUGGUUUGGGGGUGAUGGUUGGAUGAUGGGAGCGGGUGGCACCGUGCCUCAUGCCAGCUGCAGUUGUGCAUGUACCCACCCGCACACGCGCCCGACUGACGGACUGUGACAACUUGCCUGUCGCAACCCAACAGGGAGACCCAGUGCCCUCCCGGCCAGGAGCUUGCGAGCGGCAAGGAGGAGCUGUAAAUAGCGACGGGAUGUGUGUAGGUUGGGACAGCUGGUGCUAUGUGCAUGUGUGCCGUGACAGCCUACAAGACAAGCCGGAUGAUCUUACCGUACGUGUUAACUCACCUGAUGCCGGUACUUAAUUCCUAGGGCGUAGUGUGAAGCUGCCUGGGCUGCAGACUUGCUCGUGGCGUCUUAGUGUCCUCGUAGCCCACAAAGCAUGCUGGUAUUUACUUUUCUGCAGUCUGGGAGAGCCUUGGUAGCCAGUUGCAGGAAGGUGGCGACUGCGGCUUUGUUAUGCCAGGCUAUCUGACUCGCUGUCUGGUUGCGAACCCCUGUUGUGGACCGUAAGUACUAUACGUGUCCUCUGCAAUGGGAGCCUUCACCGUGUUGGGUGGCCCGUGCAGGCCUGGCCCGUGCCUACAAUCCUGUCCUAUGCGUUUGCCUGUUACUGCUAACGGCAAUUCUUCCUUGGACGCUAAAUGGUGCUGGGUCAUGAAACCCGCAAGCAGCGCAGGAGAGAGAUACAAGUCAUAACGAACCGAGCAGUUACACGCCGGGCCACGACUACAGCACACCAACACCUCAAACUCACAAGAACAUGGCGUCCACGCUGUCCCAAGCCCAGGCUAGUCAGCUAUUACUGCUGUGCACACACACACACACACACGGAGUACUGCCUUAUAGCAACAAGUACAGCCCACCCUCGCCAGCAGACUGUCACUGUCCAGCCGACCGGGGCAUCCGAGGCUCUCUCGCACUCGCCGCGUCCCCAGAGCAAUAAGGUGUUUGGGCUACGCCUAGAACAGGCGAUGACCAGAACUUCUUAUGCACUGGACGACCUACAGCCACAGACAGGAAUAAGCCCUUACCCUUGGCCUCAACUAGGAAACGGGACAAACUAGACCAUGCAAGACUGGUGAGGUGCACCCAUCCAACACGACAGCAACUGCGCAACAACUGCGUUCAUGAAGCCUUGAAAGGUCUGUAUCAAUCGCGUUGGGACACGCCCUCGUACUCAAAACAAGCCGCACGUGUAACAGUGACGCCCCAUGCUGGCCCAUGCCCACGCCCAUGC